Molecule: ribosomal RNA, 336 nt
Filed under: Clostridioides difficile
Lineage: Bacteria; Bacillati; Bacillota; Clostridia; Peptostreptococcales; Peptostreptococcaceae
Description: bacterial SSU rRNA
Rfam family: Bacterial small subunit ribosomal RNA
Source: RNAcentral
GCGUAGGCGGUCUUUCAAGUCAGGAGUGAAAGGCUACGGCUCAACCGUAGUAAGCUCUUGAAACUGGGAGACUUGAGUGCAGGAGAGGAGAGUGGAAUUCCUAGUGUAGCGGUGAAAUGCGUAGAUAUUAGGAGGAACACCAGUUGCGAAGGCGGCUCGCUGGACUGUAACUGACGCUGAGGCACGAAAGCGUGGGGAGCAAACAGGAUUAGAUACCCUGGUAGUCCACGCUGUAAACGAUGAGUACUAGGUGUCGGGGGUUACCCCCUUCGGUGCCGCAGCUAACGCAUUAAGUACUCCGCCUGGGAAGUACGCUCGCAAGAGUGAAACUCAAAG